AGUCUUGGUCCUCCCACUCUCUUCUCCCAUCUUCCCUCCUACCAGCAUUUUUCAAAUCUGAAAUCAAACCAAUGAAAUCAAACCAAUCUGAAAUCAAACCAAUGAUCUAUCUUUAAGGAACAGUCUUCAUAUUCGUAGGUAUUCAGUGACAGCUGGUUCACACUGAACACGUAUGACCCAAGCGAGAGAGAAGGAAGUUUCUAACAGCUUUAGAGAACAUGCAUGGGAGAAGAAAUGCUUUUGAUCUAUCACUCUAUGGACUGUUUUUGAUUUAUCUCAAAUGCUUCAGCAUAGCGGGUGUGAAGAUUAUUGGUCAUGAUAUAACAGUCGUGAAAAAAGGGAGUGCCACUUUGUUUUGUCACCUGACUGAGAUAGAGGAGAAUUUAACUCAUAUCACCUGGCAGAAACAGACAGGAGAAAACCCUGAACAGGAAACCUUCCUUAUCAUCCAUAAAGAUGGGAAAACUGAACUCAAAAAUGAUAUACAGGACAAGGUCAAAUUUAUUGGGAACAUUAAAGAGAAGAAUGGAUCGAUUCAGCUGCUGGAAGUGUCGCUUCUGGAUGAUGGGAUCUACACUUGCAUCUUCAACACGUUUCCUAGUGGACAAAUUCAGACAAACAUCAAUGUCACGGUACUUGUUCCUCCUGUGGGGAGCGUGACGGGGAGCACACACGUUUCUGAUCAUUACGAAGUUACUUUGGCAUCAUGUGAAGCCUCCAAAGCUCGGCCAGCAGCAGAAGUGUUGUGGAGAUUAGGAGCUCUGAAUGACUCCCUGAGAACUGAAAUCAGCUGCACAGAGCACUCAGAUGGGACAUUUACCGUUGUGAAUCACAUACUUGGUGCACCACAUAAACAUUUAAACCAGAGGAAGAUCCAGUGUGUGGUGAAGCACAGCACACUGACAAAGGAGCUUGAACUCGACUAUAUGAUAAAUGUCCACUAUCCUCCAGAAUUGGUGGUGGUAAUACCUGAUGAUCCAAAAGAGGCUGAGGAAUAUCGUUGUGUAGUGGAUUGUAACCCAACACCGACCAGCUACAUCUGGAUCAAAGUGAAUGGAAGUACUCCGCAUUCUGAAGGCAAUAAACUUUUCAUCCCAAAAUCCUCCUCUGAUUUUAAUGGUGUAUACAUCUGUACAGCAUCGAACGAGUAUGGAAGUGCAUCAGGUGUCCUCUAUGUGGGUAACACUGGAUCCACUGAUGUCUGUUGGGAUCUCUUUGGUUUUAUCUUCAGCUGUGCCAUCCUGGGGAUUACUGUGGUUUGCACAGUGCUCAGUGGUGUAGAAAUGUCUCAAGUUCUGAGGUUCUACUGAGGUAAAAGUAGAUUUUACAAAAGUAAACACUCUUGAUUAGACAUCAUCACAGACUGAUGAGAGGUCACCCUAACCCUGAUGAGAGGUCACUCAAAAACUAGCAGUUUCACUUCAGGUUAUUAAUUACUUCUCUAAAAUUGUAUUCAGGAUGCGUUCACUAUCACAAAAAACACAUUUGUCAAAGUAAACACUAAUUACUUUUACAUUACUUUCUAAAAUACUUAAAAACAUUCAGUGACACCCAACAGUGCUUACAGGUCAAUACAAUAAUAUAACAAAAAUAAAGUUUUUUUUUUCUUUCUGAAAAUGCAACUUUUUUGACAUGUCUGUAUCUGCCCAUGAUUCAUUUCAUGACUGUUUCAGUGCUUGUGUGUGAAUUAUGUGCACAUCUGUUUAAUUUUUACCGUGUUAUUCUUGGGUGUGUUUGAGUAACGAUGAGAUCAUUCUAAUUCAUAUGGUGUGUUCAUAUCUUCCUGGGAAGUUCCAUGUGUGUUCAAAUCCCUUUGAUAAACCAGAUGGUGAUGUACAGUGCCCUCCACUAAUAUUGGCACCCUUGGCAAAUAUAAGCAAAGGUGGCUGUGAAAAUUAAUCUGCAUUGUUUAUCCUUUUGAUCUUUCAUUCAAAAAAUUCACUAAAUUCUAACCUUUCAUUUAAGUAAAACAAUUGAAAAAAAAAAAAAAAGCUCAUUAUGAAAUAAAUGUUUUUCUCUAGUUUACGUUGGCCACAAUUAUUGACACCCAAUUAUUGCAAAGUCCUAUUCCCAAGAUAACAGCUCUGAGUCUUCUCCUAUAAUGCCUGAUGAGUUUGGAGAACACCUGACAAGAGAUCAGAGACCAUUCCUUCAUACAGAAUCUCUCCAGAUCCUUCAGAUUCCAGCUCCAUGUUGGUGCUUCUUCUCUUCAGUUCACUCCACUCAUUUUCUUUAGGGUUCAGGUCAGGGGACUGGGACGACCAUGGCAGAAGCUUCAUUUUGUGCUCAGUGACACAUUUUUGUGUUGGUUUUGAUGUUUGUUUUGGAUCAUUGUCCUGAUGGAAGAUCCAACCACGGCCCAUUAUAAGAUUUCUAGCAGAAGCGGUCAGGUUUUGAUUUUUUUAUCUGUUGGUAUUUGAUAGAAUCCAUGAUGCCGUGUAUCUGAACAAGGUGUCCAGGACCUCCAGCAGAAAAAUAGGCCCACAACAUUAAAGAUCCAGCAGUAUAUUUAACCGUGGGCAUGGGGUACUUUUUAUCCAUGUGUGCACCAAACCCAUCUUUGCUGCCAAAAAGCUCUAAUUUUAGUUUCAUCUGACCAUAGAUGCCGGUCCCAUUUGAAGUUCCAGUCUUGUCUGACAACUGAAUAUGCUGGAGAUUGUUUCUGGAUGAGAGCAGAGGAUUUUUCUUGAAACCCUUCCGAACAACUUGUGGGGAUGUAGGUGCUGUUUGAUAAUUUUUUUUAAAGCUUUCUGAGACUCAACUAAUCUCUGCAAUCCUCCAGCUGUGAUCCUUGGAGAGUCUUUGUCCACUCAAACUCUCCUCCUCACCGCACAUUAGGAUGAUUUAGACACACGUCCUCUUCCAGGCAGACUUGUAACAUCUUUAGUUGAUUGGAACUUCUUAAUUAUUGAUGGUGGAAAUGAGGAUUUUCAAUGCGUUAGCUAUUUUCUUAUAGCCAUUUUCUAUUUUGUGAAGCUCAACAAUCUUUUGCUGCACAUCAGAACUAUAUUCUUUGGUUUUUCUCAUUGUGAUGAAUGAUUAAGGGAAUUUGGCCUUUGUGUUUCCUCAUGUUUAUACUCCUGUGGAACAGGAAGUCAUGGCUGGACAAUUUCAUAUUCAUGCUAAAAAAAUGUAAAUAUGAAUAGGAAUAUACUUAAGAGAUAUUUUACUCAUAAAACAUUCUAGGGGUGCCAAUAAUUGUGGCCAACGUGUUUUGGAGAAAAUCAUUUAUUUCAUAAUGUAAUUUUACCCCCACUUUCAAUUGUUUUACUUUGAUGAAAUGUUAGAAUUUAGUGAAUUUUUUGAAUGAAAGAUCAAAAGGAUAAACAAUGCAGAUUAAUUUUCACAGCCGCCCUUUGCUCAUAUUUACCAAGGGUGCCAAUACAGUUGCAAGAAAAAGUGGUAAAACUUUAUAAUAACUGCACACUAUGAAGCAUUAGUUAAGCAUUAGUAAAUGGUCAAUUCAUCAUUUAUAAAGCAUUAAUAGACAUUAGUAAGCAGUUUAUAAAUAAAGCUAUAAAUGCUUUAUUCUUGAUUUAUAGGCAUAUCUAUAAUGUGUUUAAUAAUUGUAUUUUCAUACUUUAUUAAUGAUUAAUUUAUCAUUUCUAAAUUAAGUAUUACAUUAUUUACAAACCAGUUAUUUAGGAGUUGUCAGUGCUUCAUAAGAUCGUUUAGAAAGUGUAAGUAAAUGAUUAAUAAACUAUUUAAACGUACAUUUAUACAUCUUAUUAUUUAGACAUAUAGUAAUAGUUAGUCAGUGUGUUAAUAAAUGCUUUAUUAACACGUAUUCCUACUGUAAUUCAUGAUUAAUUCAGGUAGUUAUAAAACAUUUAGUAGUUGUCAGUUAACUAUUUUUGUGAGCUCAUCUAAAGUGAGGACUAUUCAUGCCUCGUAAAGCUUUUAUAAAGGAUAUUUAAAGGCUCAGUUAUCUUCUAAACAGAAAAAGGAAACAAACAUAACACAGAGGGUUACAGAACAUAAAAAUAUUUAUUUCAAGAUGCAAAAAUUAAACUGUACAACUGUGCACUUGAUAUAACAUAAAAAAUAAACCUCUGCAAUAUCCCAAAAAGAAAAAAAGAAGAAAAAAGCAACAAAAUGAACAAAAAAGAACAAAAUAAGCAAGAAAGUGAAUAUAAAUAAAAAUAAGCAACAAAAUGACAGAUAGAAAAUGAAUAUACUCAACAAAUGAUCAAACAAUAUUUGAAAAUUACAUUUUAUAUAAAUUCUUAUAUAAAGUGCUCUUACGCUUGUUACAAUGACUAAAUAAUACUACUUGUACAUUCUUGAAAUGUCAUGAAUCAGUCUGCCAAAUGCACCAUCAUAGUAUUUCUUUGCUAGCCAUUCAUUCCACUCUAUCACUGCAAGGUGGUCAGAAAGCAAACUCUCAGUCCGAUUUCCCCUAAGCCUCCAGAUCUGCUCCUUGUAAGAUCUCCAGGCCCUCUCAAUAUGUUGGGUAUGGGCACCAGUGUGGGGAUCUACAUACCACCUGCUGUGGUUGACAGUGUGAUGGUUGUACCCUAGUGCAGGGAGUAUGUAAUAGGCAUGCCACUCGUCACUGAUAAUUGAUGACCCAGGCCUCACAUGAUGCGCAAUCAAAGGGACUAGAUGUUUUCGAGAUCUUCUCUCCAGAAGACGCAGAAUAGGUUUUCUGGAUUUUUUCUGCUGAUGAUGUCUCACACCUAACAUUCCAAAGACCCACUUCUUACUUUUCCACCCACCAGCCAUUCUUCCUCUACCAUACUAAUGGAGAAAAACAAAAUAAACACAGAGGUAAACAGAUACAUUAUAAUCAAGUCAAGUCAAGUCAAGUCACCUUUAUUUAUAUAGCACUUUUUACAAUGUAGAUUGUGUCAAAGCAGCUUUACAUUGAUAACUGGUACAUUGUUUGGCUGCACAGCAGCAGCUAGUGUCAAUGCAAUAACAAUAAUAACAAUAACUUUGGAACCUAUAUUUCACAUUUAUUUAAAGUCACUAUUGCUAUAACAUACCUUUCUUUUGUGCCGAAAAUGGCUUUCGUCGAUCACAACAAACUCCCUUCUUCCACCAAUCUGCUGACCUGUACGCCUUCUCAUCCUUUCAACUGCUGUGACACAGACUUCCCUUAUUUUCUUCGCCAUUUUACUAAGAGUUGCUGAACUGCCUGCAAUGCUGUCGUCCAUCAUGUCUAUCUGCCGUAACCGUAGACCCUGAGAAAACCUUUAAAGGCAAAUAGAACAUGUAAUGUUUAUGAUUGUAAAAUAAUUGACACUGUAUGCAUUAUUUUAUGCAAAUUACAAAGAAAACUGCAACAAAGUGAGUUAAUUAUAUACAUAUUCAUAUUACAACUGUUUUUUGUUUUUUUUUGCCUACCUGUACAUGAAUUGCAUCCACCUACUGAAGGAGACCUUUGAUCUACUGAAGAUUGAUUUGUGCCUGACAGAAAUUUGUUUUGCCCUUCCCUCAUGUGCUCCUGCUUGUCGACAAAUCCUAUUGUAAAAAAAAAAAAAUCUUGAUUAUGUUUCAGUGCGAUGCAAAUUAUAUAUAUUUAUAUAUAUAUAAUUUUAAUAUAUAUAUAAAAUAAUUUUAAUAUAUUAUAAAAUAUAUAUAUCUUACCAAGCAUACUGGUCUCCACUGUUCGUCCUUUUCUUCAUUUUCAUGUCCCGAUGACAAAUUCUGCAUUUAUUUUUUGUUUUUAGCAGUUUCCUUUUCUGAAGCCACUUAAUCAUCUUCAGGGUUUUCUUUGUAGAGCUGGGCUCAUUAAUGAGCUUCUUUAGCCGGCUUAAUCUGCUCAUCUUUAUUUAUUUAUUUAUUUUUUUUUUUAUUAAACAUUUGCUUUAGAUAAUAGUGAUAUAGUGACAGCUAGUUUGUGAUCAAAUAGGUGGGAGAAAUCGCGCUCCCGCUUUCAUACGUAAUCAAUGUGGGACAAAGGAAAACUCGCGCUUUCGAACGUCAUCAACGGGGGACGAAGGAAUUGUGCAGCAGCAGUUUGUUUAUGACAUGGAGAACUUUGACAAAAGUAGAAAAGGCGUGCGGACCCGGGCCAAAAGGAAUGCCACCGUGGAGAUGGAUGCAUUGGAUGAGACUUCCGUCGGUGGCACUAGUGGUGAGUAUGUUACUCUGUUUACUGGCACGUAUUAUUAAUGAUGGCUAGCAAGCUAAUCGCUAGUUAGAGGUCCUGAUGCCAGCGACACGCAGGGGGGCGGGAUCGCUGCGACGUACGGCACUGCUUACACACUAGGCAGGAAGCCUGGCUGUCAACAGAUGACUUUUGUAAUGACAUUUUUGACUCUCUUUGUGUAAUGCACAGGGACGGGCGGGAUGGGAUGAGAGUUUGUUAGACAACAAUAAAGUAAAUAGAAUGUUCACAGUUCAUUCAAUAAUGUAUAGUUACUUUUAAUUAGGUGUGCCCACGGCCCCCACUGCACAUCUGGCAGACAAAAGGAAAUCUCAUGAGAUGGAGAUGUGUAAGCUGAAAAUAGAGUGGCAAAAAGACAAGAUUGAUGAGCUGACCAAGGAGAGAGACUAUCUAAAAGAGCAGCUGGCAUCAGCUCUUAAAAGAGAGGACAACGUUUCCAAGCAGACGAUUCCCCUGUCUUCAGAUUCCUGUCGUGACAGCUCAGAAUCUUCCUCUGAUUCUAUGUCUGACUCCUCUAUAUCCUCAUCAGAGGGGGACAGGAAGAAGAAGAAGAGGGUGAAAAGAAAGGGGAAAGGGAAAAAGUAUGGGAAGUCCAAGAGAAUGAAAACAAAGACACGUCAGAGAGCUCAAACACCACAGCAGGUAGUGGCCCGAUAUGAAAAAGUUCUUCGACACUUCAGCAGAGGAGGGACCAUGUCUGCUGCAUUCAGGCAGGUUGGGGUGGACCGGAACACCAUCGUAGUCAAUGCACCGAUUGCCGAAUUGUACAUCGCUGCGCCCUGCAAAUUUAAGGAACUCCUUAAAACCCACAGCAGUGAGGUUAAACUCAGUAUUUUUGCCACACAAUGUGCUGCUGUGAUUAAGGAGGAUCCAGCUAUAGAAGAUACUAUCAAAGCCUUUAAGGCUUCCAGUAAGCUGCUGCCUCUAAAAGGAAAGUGAACUGAUCUAGGAUCUGUUUUCAAGUUUUCUAAAUAAAACUAAAGUUGUACAAUGGACUGAAACACGUCCACAAUCUGCACUGCUGUUCUGUAAUGUUUGAAACGUUCUGUAAUGUUAAUACUGAGGUAGUUUUUACACUAAAAUAUUUUAUUAUAUUAUUAUUCAUUUAUAAAAAUGUUAUUUGUUGUAUUUUAUAUGUUGUAUUUUUUAUUUUUAUAUUGUAUGUUGCAUUAGCACUCCUGUAGCACUUUAAAUAAUUUUUUAUACCAUAUUGCAGAGGCUUAUGUUUACUGGAGGUGUACAGGGAUUUUUUCUUUUUGUGAUAUUGCAGAGGUUUAUUUUUUAUGUUAUAUCAAGUGUACAGUUGUACAGUUUGAUUUUUGCAUCUUGAAAUAAAUAUUUUUAUGUUCUGUAUCCCUCUGUGUUAUGUUUGUUUCCUUUUUCUGUUUAGAAGAUAACUGAGCCUUUAAAUAUCCUUUCUAAAAGCUUUACGAGGCAUGAAUAGUCCUCACUUUAGAUGAGCUCACAAAAAUAGUUAACUGACAACUACUAAAUGUUUUAUAACUACCUGAAUUAAUCAUGAAUUACAGUAGGAAUACGUGUUAAUAAAGCAUUUAUUAACACACUGACUAACUAUUACUAUAUGUCUAAAUAAUAAGAUGUAUAAAUGUACAUUUAAAUAGUUUAUUAAUCAUUUACUUACACUUUCUAAACGAUCUUAUGAAGCACUGACAACUCCUAAAUAACUGGUUUGUAAAUAAUGUAAUACUUAAUUUAGAAAUGAUGAAUUGAUCAUUAAUAAAGUAUGAAAAUACAAUUAUUAAACACAUAAUAGAUAUGCUUAUAAAUCAAGAACAAAGCCUUUAUAGGUGUAUUUAUAAACUGCUUACUAAUGUCUAUUAAUGCUUUAUAAAUGAUGAAUUGACUAUUUACUAAUGCUUAACUAAUGCUUCAUAGUGUGCAGUUAUUAUAAAGUGUUACCGAAAAAGUAUGUGAACCACUUGCAGAAUCUGUGAAAAUGUUUUUUUUUUUUUAACAAAGUAAGGGAGAUAAUAUAAAAUGCAUGUUAUUUAUUAUUUAUUUUACAUAAAAGAAGUUUACAUAUAAUCCACAAGACAAAAAAUAGCUGAAUUUAUUAAAAUAACCAAAAAGUAUGUGAACUAUUGAUUCUUAAUACUGUGUGUGGUUACCUGGAUGAUCUACGACUGUUUUUUUGUUUUGUGAUGGUUGUUCUUGAGUCCCUUGUUUGUUCUGAACAGUUAAACUGAGCUCUGUUCUUCAGAAAAAAUCUCUGCACAAACAAGCCACAGCAGAAGUCAACACACACAAGAAUGUGCUUUGGAAAUUUGUACGUUUAUUUAGAUGGAUGCAUUCAAUUGGUCAAAAAUGACAGUAAAGACAUUUGCAAUCUUACAAAAGAUCAAGUAAAUGCUGUUCUUUAAACUUUCUGUUCAUCAGAGAAACCUAAAAAACUCAUCACGGUUUCCGCAAUCAUUAAGCAGCACAACUGUGAUAAUGAUCAGAAAUAUUUCUUAUUGUCUAUAUAAUUCAUAACCACACAUUUAUUAUGAACUAUGCAGUAAGGCGAUUGCUUCUCCUGAUUUGUUAUUGCUGUAGGAUUGGCAUGACCUAUAAAGGCCUGGAAAGGGGGUGGGGAGCAGCAGCUCAUUUGCAUUUAAAGAGACACACGAAAAUGGCAUGUUUUUGCUCACACCCAAUAGGGGCAAAUUGGACAAGCUAUAGUAAAUGAUUUGUGUGGUAUUUUAAGCUGAAAUUUCACAGACACAUUCUGGGGACACCAGAGACUUAUAUUACAUCUUGUUUAAAGGGCCAUAAUAGGUCCCCUUAAAGAUUUUUCAGCCGUUUUGAUCUAAAUAAUCUAAAAUGUCUUUAAUUACUCAUUGUUGCAGUUGGUCUGAUGCUUCCAGCCAUGCUUGCAUAACUCAUCAUGCCUUUUUGUGCCCCUUAAUUGCUGCUUACAGCUAUAUAUAGUCAUUUAUUGUUUUACUGAUUAUUUUAAAUCACCAUUUACACACAAACUGACCACCAACUGCAACUUUCAGAUGCCAUCUUUAUUCUUCUAGCUCAACUGUCACAGAAUGGAAAGCACAGGAUUGUGGGAUAUCAAAGGCAGCGAAUGAUACAUCUAUGCUGCCUUCAAAAAUCGUUAAGAUGAAGGUAUCUCAUGAGACAGGAAGUAAAGCUAACUUUGGAUUCGGACAUGCCUUAAUGCCUUCCUACCUUGGAAUAUGUCUUCUGAAGGCAUCAUUUUUCAGCCUGUGCCACACAAGUCCUGAAAAGUGAAGCCAAAGCGUCUCGAUCGCCCCCAGGUGGCUGGAUGUAGUAUAGGUCAUAAACCCCACCCUCUCCAUGUAAUGUAAUGAACGUGAGACAAACUAAACAGUCGAAUUACACGUCAAAUAUUUUUUCUUCCAAAGAUAGUUUCUGUCAUUUUAGGCAGUUUUUAUCACGCUGAUGUUAGCUAAAGUGUUCUUUCUUUAAAUAAGUUUUUUUAAGUUAGUUAUUUGAUGCAAUAAAAACACGGGUUUUGAUGUUAUGAUUGACAGCUGAGAUUACAGCUUCUCUUAAAGAGAAGUCGUCACUGAAGCACCAACAGACUUUUUUCUGGAUCUUCAGGAGGAGAUUGGAGCUUUAACUUAAAUUUCUACAUUUCCAGAACUGUUUAUUUCACACCAACAUAAUGUGUUGUUCUGCAGUAUUAACCGAUUUUGCGGGAGUGUGGGCGGGACCUUGAUAUCGCGGCUCCGCUUCACACUCACUACUGCGCUGACUCGGGCUCCAAGUUCACUAUGUGCAGACUCGAGACUCAAGAUGUCAGUGGCAUAUUGACACACUGUCGGCUUCAGUUACUACAAUGUAACCCAUCCAUGUAUGACAGUGGGUCAUAAGCGAUUGUUAAUAGUUAAAACAGUUUAAAUUAUUAGUAUUUUUUGUAUCUAUUGUUUCACUUCAGAAGACAUUGGUGGGGUCUACUGGGGUCGCAUGUGUCUUUAGGACUCAAAGAGAUGUAUUAUUUUCCUAAAAAUCUUAAUUCAUGUUUAUCUGUAGAAAAAAGUAAUAUGCAUCUUGGACGGCAUGAGGGUGAGUAAAAUAUGUGAGAAUUUUUAUUUUUUGGUGAACUAUCCCCUUAACAUACAUAAGCUGUUGGUAUGCUAAUCCAAGAUCAGCAUAGACUAAUAAGAAUAAAGUGCAACCUCUUGUGUAUUUGUGAACUGUUUUAAAUCUAGAACUACAAAGAAAUUAAAAUAUUUGCAUAAUA
Ctenopharyngodon idella (grass carp) is the source of this 10334-nucleotide RNA transcript. RefSeq lists it as uncharacterized. NCBI's taxonomy places the organism in Eukaryota, Metazoa, Chordata, Actinopteri, Cypriniformes, Xenocyprididae. The transcript is spliced from 8 exons. The record is from RefSeq and is a predicted model, not a curated record.